UGGGGAAUUUUGGACAAUGGGCGAAAGCCUGAUCCAGCAAUGCCGCGUGUGUGAAGAAGGCCUUCGGGUUGUAAAGCACUUUUGUCCGGAAAGAAAUCCUUGGCUCUAAUACAGUCGGGGGAUGACGGUACCGGAAGAAUAAGCACCGGCUAACUACGUGCCAGCAGCCGCGGUAAUACGUAGGGUGCAAGCGUUAAUCGGAAUUACUGGGCGUAAAGCGUGCGCAGGCGGUUUGCUAAGACCGAUGUGAAAUCCCCGGGCUCAACCUGGGAACUGCAUUGGUGACUGGCAGGCUAGAGUAUGGCAGAGGGGGGUAGAAUUCCACGUGUAGCAGUGAAAUGCGUAGAGAUGUGGAGGAAUACCGAUGGCGAAGGCAGCCCCCUGGGCCAAUACUGACGCUCAUGCACGAAAGCGUGGGGAGCAAACAGGAUUAGAUACCCUGGUAGUCCACGCCCUAAACGAUGUCAACUGGUUGUUGGGGAUUCAUUUCCUUAGUAACGUAGCUAACGCGUGAAGUUGACCGCCUGGGGAGUACGGUCGCAAGAUUAAAGCUCAAAGGAAUUGACGGGGUCAUAGCUGUUUCCU
RNAcentral lists this ribosomal RNA (585 nucleotides) under uncultured bacterium. RNAcentral's name for it is "partial 16S ribosomal RNA". It matches the Rfam family "Bacterial small subunit ribosomal RNA", at positions 355 to 1375 of the family's 1533-position model. The record is from RNAcentral.